UAACAACCUACCUUCCUAAUUGAUUACGGAUUAGUUACAAGUUACUAGAAAAGAAGUUAGAGGUUGUAGUUGUUAUAUUAGUCGUUUUAUUGUGUUAUUUUUGGUUUGAUAGUUAGAGCUCAAAUAUAACUGAACUUAAGUUGCUGGAGCCUCCGUACAAGUAGAUGGAUUGGUCGAAAUGGUUGAUUUUCUAUUUCAUUGGUUCAGGAAGAGAGUCCAUUAACGAUCCUCAACAUCCGGAUUUUUAUGAAGGAGAAGAGAUGUGGAUGGCACGAGGCUUCAUUAAUCAGUUUUUUUUAUGGAGCUGUAAAUCUGAAAGAAGAAAGAUGAGUGAAGCAAAAAGUUAUUCAAGAUAUCUUGGAUAGUUCUAAGUCGCAAGAAGAAAGACUGCUCGACCAAAAACGAGAGGAUCACAUAGAAGCCCUCCUUGACCAGUGUUGGAUUAUCACAGGGCUAGCUAAAAUGAAAACAUGGCAGAUUGGCUGAAUGGGUCAAAACUUGGUACAAAGAGCAGUUUUCACUGUGGGCAAGAUAGAUGGUAAUGGGUCAAAAUAGGUUUGUUUUGAACCGGGUCAUCUUGAGUGUAGGUUGAAAUGAGCCAGUCUGACUUUCAACCAUGUUUUAUCUUUUUAUUUUCAUAAAUAUUUAAGCCUUAAUUGUAACUACAAAAACAAUAUAGUUACAAAAGUAAGGGUUAUGUACUUAUGUUAGUGUUAACAAAAAUGUAAACAUGGUUAAUGGGUCAAAAGUUGAUAUGCCGAGCAGUUUCCACUUUAGGCAAAAUGGACG
Molecule: long non-coding RNA, 789 nt
Organism: Helianthus annuus (common sunflower)
Lineage: Eukaryota; Viridiplantae; Streptophyta; Magnoliopsida; Asterales; Asteraceae
Exons: 4
Source: RefSeq, a predicted model, not a curated record